UAAAACCCUUGUCCACAUCAUGUUUAAAGUUAAAAUGAAAAUGCUUAAAAUUUGACUGCCUCGUGGAAAGUUGCUGGAUAUCCUCCCAGCCCUUUUUAUCCCCUUCAGGGGCUUGAAUGGUCACAUGAAAGAAUAGAGGAGCUAUCCAGCAGAAGAAGCUACUAUUGUGCUGAGAUGCGUCACGGCUGCUUAUUGGGAGGAAGUGGAGCAAAGAGGCAUUGGGGAGGGCAGCACAAUGUAGAUACAAUAGCGGAGCCAAUCUGUCACUCCUGACGCUGCCUCCACCUGCUAAGCAGCAGUGGCUCACCUGCUGGGAAGUCAAGUCCACCACAUGUGAAAGAAUGUUCCUUCAACCUCAUGGCAUCACCAGCACUAUGUGUGUAUGUCCAGAUCUGCAGGACUUGGGAGCCCCCCCAGAAAAGGCUGAUGAUAAGCCCUCAUAUCUGCAAGUAGAACUGCUGAAUCUAAGUCCUCUUUGUCAAAUGUUGUAAGCAACAGUAGCCACAAGGCUAUUGAUUGCGAAAAAUUGGAAAAGUGGUACUAUACCGACAAAAAUGGAGUGGCUUGCCAAAUUAUUGGAGUACUACAAUAUAUCCAAAACAAUGGGAGAAAUUGGAAGGAUCUCAAAAGAGAAGAUAGACAGGGAUUGGAAGGUGUUUAAAGGAUACUUGCAAAACCAUAUUGAAAAAUCAGAACUCCUAUUAGAAUAAACAAGUUCCGUUUUAAAUACUGAAAUACUAAAUAAGAUGGAUAACAAUGUGUAAUAGAAAAAGAAGCAUGAAAUUAGGUUAAAGGUGUGUGAAAGAAAGUAAUAGAAGUGGAAAGAAAUUGCAAUUGAGUAGAUUGGAAGUCUAACACAAAGGUGGGGUGAGGGGUGGUGGAUGGUGAUGGGAAAAGGAAUUAUCUGUGGGACUGAAUGUAGGUAUGUUUGAAUAUUCUUAAGGAUUGUAUGAAAUGUAUGUUUGUAUGCUUGUAUAUUCGUAAUAUGUGUGUAUAAAUGCUGAAUUAUUUUAACAAUAAAAACUUUUCAAUUU
Molecule: long non-coding RNA, 1034 nt
Organism: Podarcis raffonei (Aeolian wall lizard)
Lineage: Eukaryota; Metazoa; Chordata; Lepidosauria; Squamata; Lacertidae
Exons: 2
Source: RefSeq, a predicted model, not a curated record